AUGAACGCUGGCGGCGUGCCUAAUACAUGCAAGUCGAGCGAACGGACGAGAAGCUUGCUUCUCUGAUGUUAGCGGCGGACGGGUGAGUAACACGUGGAUAACCUACCUAUAAGACUGGGAUAACUUCGGGAAACCGGAGCUAAUACCGGAUAAUAUUUUGAACCGCAUGGUUCCAAAGUAAAAGACGGUCUUGCUGUCACUUAUAGAUGGAUCCGCGCUGCAUUAGCUAGUUGGUAAGGUAACGGCUUACCAAGGCAACGAUGCAUAGCCGACCUGAGAGGGUGAUCGGCCACACUGGAACUGAGACACGGUCCAGACUACUACGGGAGGCAGCAGUAGGGAAUCUUCCGCAAUGGGCGAAAGCCUGACGGAGCAACGCCGCGUGAGUGAUGAAGGUCUUCGGAUCGUAAAACUCUGUUAUUAGGGAAGAACAUAUGUGUAAGUAACUGUGCACAUCUUGACGGUACCUAAUCAGAAAGCCACGGCUAACUACGUG
RNAcentral lists this ribosomal RNA (496 nucleotides) under uncultured bacterium. RNAcentral describes it as "partial 16S ribosomal RNA". It matches the Rfam family "Bacterial small subunit ribosomal RNA", at positions 29 to 507 of the family's 1533-position model. The record is from RNAcentral.